Molecule: long non-coding RNA, 739 nt
Filed under: Cairina moschata (Muscovy duck)
Lineage: Eukaryota; Metazoa; Chordata; Aves; Anseriformes; Anatidae
Description: domestica (muscovy Duck (domestic type)) lncRNA (ENSCMMG00000009662.1)
Source: RNAcentral
UGCGGUAGCAGCAGCAGCAGCUCCUAGACGCCUGCAGGGGAGUUCCCAACUUUCCCGGCCGCUUUGCGAAUUCUCACCGAAGUUAUCCGGAGUUUGCCAGAUUAAUAUCACCUGAAGUACUUUAACAACAGAAACAACAAGAGCACCUGCAAGGACAACACAGAAUUAAAGUGACAAGAAUAUUAGCUUAAGAGGCAUUCUUCAUUUGAUUCAGGAUCAGCAUAUUCCAAAAUGAACUGAGAAGCAGUUGUUGGAUAUUUGAGACAUCAACUGAUGGAUAUGAAGGCCAACUAGAAAACUCAGAGAAAUACUGUCUGCAGGAGCAUGCUGAUUGUUCCACAGCUGGGCAGCAGUACUUCAUCAGCACACAGGAAUUAAAAGUAAGUGACAACACCUGAAUCUUCCUCUCCCUGCUGCUCAGCUUUGAAAGGAGAUCAGAUUAGGGGUGGCUGGUUUGUGGAGUCCUAGUGGGGUUGAAUAAAGCUAGUAACUGUUGAAACAGGAGGUUGGCUAAUAGUGGUGGUUAAAGCUAUCUUCUUCAGAAGAAUAAAGAUAUUCUCAUGAAUUUAGAGCAGUAUAAGUACUUUUUACAUUGGUUGGUGAAACUAGGGAAUUUUCUAAUAGAAAUAUCUGUGUAAAAACAGUGAGGGAAAAGAGGACAAAGGUAAGGCAUUGUGUUAUUUACAGCCUUUACCUCACCUGAAACUGAACAAAGCAUGCUCUUUACUCAGGUGAACUA